UACGGAGGAUCCAAGCGUUAUCCGGAAUCAUUGGGUUUAAAGGGUCCGUAGGCGGCUUUAUAAGUCAGUGGUGAAAUCCCAUCGCUUAACGAUGGAACUGCCAUUGAUACUGUAGAGCUUGAAUUUUUGUGAAGUAACUAGAAUAUGUAGUGUAGCGGUGAAAUGCUUAGAUAUUACAUGGAAUACCAAUUGCGAAGGCAGGUUACUAACAAACAAUUGACGCUGAUGGACGAAAGCGUGGGGAGCGAACAGG
RNAcentral lists this ribosomal RNA (253 nucleotides) under uncultured bacterium. Its description in RNAcentral is "partial 16S ribosomal RNA". It matches the Rfam family "Bacterial small subunit ribosomal RNA", at positions 524 to 776 of the family's 1533-position model. The record is from RNAcentral.